GAUGAACGCUGGCGGCGUGCCUAAUACAUGCAAGUCGGGCGAACAGACGAGGAGCUUGCUCCUCUGACGUUAGCGGCGGACGGGUGAGUAACACGUGGAUAACCUACCUAUAAGACUGGGAUAACUUCGGGAAACCGGAGCUAAUACCGGAUAAUAUAUUGAACCGCAUGGUUCAAUAGUGAAAGACGGUUUUGCUGUCACUUAUAGAUGGAUCCGCGCCGCAUUAGCUAGUUGGUAAGGUAACGGCUUACCAAGGCAACGAUGCGUAGCCGACCUGAGAGGGUGAUCGGCCACGCUGGAACUGAGACACGGUCCAGACUCCUACGGGAGGCAGCAGUAGGGAAUCUUCCGCAAUGGGCGAAAGCCUGACGGAGCAACGCCGCGUGAGUGAUGAAGGUCUUCGGAUCGUAAAACUCUGUUAUUAGGGAAGAACAAAUGUGUAAGUAACUAUGCACGUCUUGACGGUUCCUAAUCAGAAAGCCACGGCUAACUACGUG
This 497-nucleotide ribosomal RNA is filed under the name uncultured bacterium. Its description in RNAcentral is "partial 16S ribosomal RNA". It matches the Rfam family "Bacterial small subunit ribosomal RNA", at positions 28 to 507 of the family's 1533-position model. The record is from RNAcentral.